This 428-nucleotide ribosomal RNA is filed under the name uncultured archaeon. RNAcentral's name for it is "bacterial SSU rRNA". It matches the Rfam family "Archaeal small subunit ribosomal RNA", at positions 474 to 903 of the family's 1478-position model. The record is from RNAcentral.
UACCAGCUCUCCGAGUGGUAGGGAUGAUUAUUGGGCUUAAAGCGUCCGUAGCCGGCUUAGCAAGUUUCCUGUUAAAUUCAGCGACCUAAUCGUUGAGCCGCGGGAAAUACUACUAGGCUAGGAGGCGGGAGAGGUCGACGGUACUUCUGGGGUAGGGGUGAAAUCCUAUAAUCCCGGGAGGACCACCAGUGGCGAAGGCUGUCGACUAGAACGCGCUCGACGGUGAGGGACGAAAGCUGGGGGAGCGAACCGGAUUAGAUACCCGGGUAGUCCCAGCUGUAAACGAUGCGGGCUAGGUGUUGGGGUGGCUACGUGCCACUUCAGUGCCGCAGGGAAGCCAUUAAGCCCGCCGCCUGGGAAGUACGGCCGCAAGGCUGAAACUUAAAGGAAUUGGCGGGGGAGCACACAAGGCGUGAAGCUUGCGGUUC